UUCUGAGACCAUGGGGUAUAU
RNAcentral lists this microRNA (21 nucleotides) under Mus musculus (house mouse). RNAcentral describes it as "mmu-miR-7026-5p". The record is from miRBase by way of RNAcentral. Lineage: Eukaryota; Metazoa; Chordata; Mammalia; Rodentia; Muridae.